GAUGAGGCAUGCAAGUCGAACGGAAUAAUGACUUCGGUUGUUAUUUAGUGGCGGAAGGGUUAGUAAUACAUAGAUAAUCUGUCCUCAACUUGGGAAUAACGGUUGGAAACGACCGCUAAUACCGAAUGUGGUAUGUUUAGGCAUCUAAAACAUAUUAAAGAAGGGGAUCUUCGGACCUUUCGGUUAAGGGAGAGUCUAUGGGAUAUCAGCUUGUUGGUGGGGUAAUGGCCUACCA
RNAcentral lists this ribosomal RNA (235 nucleotides) under Chlamydia abortus. RNAcentral describes it as "partial 16S ribosomal RNA". It matches the Rfam family "Bacterial small subunit ribosomal RNA", at positions 49 to 270 of the family's 1533-position model. The record is from RNAcentral. Lineage: Bacteria; Pseudomonadati; Chlamydiota; Chlamydiia; Chlamydiales; Chlamydiaceae.